Molecule: long non-coding RNA, 478 nt
Filed under: Salvia miltiorrhiza (redroot sage)
Lineage: Eukaryota; Viridiplantae; Streptophyta; Magnoliopsida; Lamiales; Lamiaceae
Description: long non-coding RNA (SMIL_LNC001246)
Source: RNAcentral
UCAAAACCAAAACAACUAGUUGUGAAUUCGAGUUUUAAAACUUCAAUUCACAACCAACACUAACGAUUCAGUUGUGAACUCAUCGAGCUGAUUGUGAAUUCUAAUUUUAGUUGUGAAUUCAUAGAUUUGAUUGUGAAUUUAAGAACAUUAAGUUGUAAAUUCAUAAAUCUGGUUGUGAAUUCAAGAACAUUAAUUAAUUAUCCAAAAAUCUAUUUCUCUUUCAAUCGAAAAAACUCUCCAAUAAAAUUUAUAAAUCAUCACUCGAAGAAAAAAAACAAAAAAAAUAGAGAAAAUGAUGAAUUUAAUUGGAAAACAAAAACAAACAGUCUUUGGGCAAAAAAUGCAAUAGGAAGAAACUAACACCAUUAGCAAAGCUAGCUUCAACGCAUUUCCAUGUUCACAAUUUUUAUCUCAUAAAUAUCAAUGAGAGAGAGACUUUCUCUAGCACUUGAUCUAGGAAUGGUGAUUGAGGGUGAAC